Molecule: ribosomal RNA, 253 nt
Filed under: uncultured bacterium
Lineage: Bacteria
Description: partial 16S ribosomal RNA
Rfam family: Bacterial small subunit ribosomal RNA
Source: RNAcentral
UACGAAGGGGGCUAGCGUUGCUCGGAAUCACUGGGCGUAAAGGGCGCGUAGGCGGCCAUUCAAGUCGGAGGUGAAAGCCCAGGGCUCAACCCUGGAAUUGCCUUCGAUACUGUCUGGCUAGAGACCGGAAGAGGUAAGUGGAACUGCGAGUGUAGAGGUGAAAUUCGUAGAUAUCGAGAAGAACACCGGUGGCGAAGGCGGCUUGCUGGGCCUUACCUGACGCUGAGGAGCGAAAGCGUGGGGAGCGAACAGG